AUAUUUUGAAUGAAGUAUAUUCAUAAUAUGUUAUCAGACAAAUGUUGUUAAAGAUAUAGGUUGAUAUUUGUGAAGGGAAAGAGUUGCCUCUCUCCCAACAAACAUUGCACACAAGGUGGAUAUGGAUUUUUAAAGAGUGCCAUAAAACACUCAUUGUGAAUGAUCCUUCCACAGGUUCACCUAUGGAAA
RNAcentral lists this unclassified non-coding RNA (189 nucleotides) under uncultured fungus. Its description in RNAcentral is "sequence contains ITS1". Lineage: Eukaryota; Fungi. The record is from RNAcentral.